RNAcentral lists this ribosomal RNA (467 nucleotides) under uncultured bacterium. RNAcentral's name for it is "bacterial SSU rRNA". It matches the Rfam family "Bacterial small subunit ribosomal RNA", at positions 330 to 795 of the family's 1533-position model. The record is from RNAcentral.
GCCAGACUCCUACGGGAGGCAGCAGUGAGGAAUAUUGGUCAAUGGCCGCAGGGCUGAACCAGCCAAGUCGCGUGAGGGAUGACGGUCCUAUGGAUUGUAAACCUCUUUUGUCGGGGAGCAAAUUCCGCCACGUGUGGCGGAGUCGAGAGUACCCGAAGAAAAAGCAUCGGCUAACUCCGUGCCAGCAGCCGCGGUAAUACGGAGGAUGCGAGCGUUAUCCGGAUUUAUUGGGUUUAAAGGGUGCGCAGGCGGCACGGCAAGCCGGCGGUCAAAUCGCGGGGCUCAACCCCGCCCAGCCGUCGGAACUGCCGGGCUAGAGUGGGCGAGAAGUGCGCGGAAUGCGUGGUGUAGCGGUGAAAUGCAUAGAUAUCACGCAGAACUCCGAUUGCGAAGGCAGCGCACCGGCGCCCUACUGACGCUCAGGCACGAAAGCGUGGGUAUCGAACAGGAUUAGAUACCCGCGUAAC